GGUGAGUAACACGUGGAUAACCUACCUAUAAGACUGGGAUAACUACGGGAAACCGGAGCUAAUACCGGAUAAUAUAUUGAACCGCAUGGUUCAAUAGUGAAAGACGGUAUUGCUGUCACUUAUAGAUGGAUCCGCGCCGCAUUAGCUAGUUGGUAAGGUAACGGCUUACCAAGGCAACGAUGCGUAGCCGACCUGAGAGGGUGAUCGGCCACACUGGAACUGAGACACGGUCCAG
This 235-nucleotide ribosomal RNA is filed under the name uncultured Staphylococcus sp. RNAcentral's name for it is "partial 16S ribosomal RNA". It matches the Rfam family "Bacterial small subunit ribosomal RNA", at positions 105 to 334 of the family's 1533-position model. The record is from RNAcentral. Lineage: Bacteria; Bacillati; Bacillota; Bacilli; Caryophanales; Staphylococcaceae.